Arvicola amphibius (Eurasian water vole) is the source of this 890-nucleotide long non-coding RNA. RefSeq lists it as uncharacterized. The transcript is spliced from 3 exons. NCBI's taxonomy places the organism in Eukaryota, Metazoa, Chordata, Mammalia, Rodentia, Cricetidae. The record is from RefSeq and is a predicted model, not a curated record.
GGCCGGUCCUCCUGCCCCCAGGUCAGCUUCUCCACACUCACUCCACCAGGACCGUCUCGACUGUUUUGCCCAGACGAUGUACAAGACCCGCUCUGCCUAUUGUUACAGUUGUAUCUUUGUGAAUUGCCUUAGGACACCAAUGACCUAGAAGAAGCAGCACUUAAAUGAAUUUUAGAAUUUCUGAAAUCCGUGCACCAACAGGACCAGGAGUCCCUGGGGCACCCUGAGAGCCUGGCAGACCUGCAGGCCCAGGGUCUCCACGAUCACCCUGAGAAGAAUAGACAGAGCAUUUUUCUUUAAACAUUGAUUGUAUAAUAACAAUAAUCUAUAUUGCUCAUAUUAUAGACAAUAUGAAAAUAUACCAUUUCAAACACGUCGAUUUACUUCUUUACUUAAAUAUUUUACUUUUAUUCACUAAUCAAUACAUUAAAUUCAAGGGAAUAGGAUUAUUUCUCCUCAGCUUCAGGUCUUAUCCACCUUCGACUCUUGCUGUUCCCUACAUUCUGGUUGUCAGAGGACAGAAGUCAACAUUUGUGGUCUACCUUUCUAGACUAGUGGAGUUGACCUCCAGAAGUCAACAUUUGCUGGUCUGCUUUCCUAGACUAGCAGUCUUCAAAGAAGUGUCCACAUUCAUAAAGCACAGUGUAAAUUUCAGAGUGGGAAAACAUCAAGGAAGUCACUGCCUACAUUUUUCAGCUACAUUCACAAAAUCUCUCAGAAAACUGGUUCCUUCCUUCCUUGCCCUCCCCUCCUCUGGAAGAAGGGCAAACACUAUGCUAUCUUCAGUCCUGUAUAGCAUAACGCCCUUGAAAGCAACUGCUUCUGAGGGGCAAAGAAAGAUGCCUGCAGAUUGCAGAUCGCGCUUGGAAGAAAUGGGAAAGAGUCCUCCC